UACGUAGGGUGCAAGCGUUGUCCGGAAUUAUUGGGCGUAAAGAGCUCGUAGGCGGUCUGUCGCGUCUGCUGUGAAAACUCAGGGCUUAACCCUGAGCUUGCAGUGGGUACGGGCAGACUAGAGUGCGGUAGGGGAGACUGGAAUUCCUGGUGUAGCGGUGAAAUGCGCAGAUAUCAGGAGGAACACCGGUGGCGAAGGCGGGUCUCUGGGCCGUAACUGACGCUGAGGAGCGAAAGCAUGGGGAGCGAACGGG
This 253-nucleotide ribosomal RNA is filed under the name uncultured bacterium. Its description in RNAcentral is "partial 16S ribosomal RNA". It matches the Rfam family "Bacterial small subunit ribosomal RNA", at positions 524 to 776 of the family's 1533-position model. The record is from RNAcentral.